Long non-coding RNA from Neofelis nebulosa (Clouded leopard), 909 nucleotides. RefSeq lists it as uncharacterized. The transcript has 5 exons. The record is from RefSeq and is a predicted model, not a curated record. Lineage: Eukaryota; Metazoa; Chordata; Mammalia; Carnivora; Felidae.
UAAAUUUGUGAUGAAUUGGCAACACAAAGAAUUUUGAGCUUGGAAUAUUCCUUGCUGUCCCUAACUCUGAUGAUAAAGUUGCCUUCUAACUCCUGAUACAGAUAUCAGUGGCUGUGGUCAACUUCUAUGGCUCUGCUACAUGUCUUCUCAUUCCAGAUUCCAGCCUCAAAAAGUGUGCCUUAUUUGGGACAUCCAAAAAAGAAGAACUCUUGAUGCCUCCUAAAGUUUCUAAAUGUCCAGAAGUGUUCCUCAGAAAGAAUGUGCAUAGGUAGCGAGUUUCUCAAUAAAAAGCUUCUUCAUAAAAACUACAUAGAGGACUUAUGCUUCCAGAUGGAUUGCACCGUGGGAAGAUUCAGAGCUCCCUUCUUCUGUAGACACUCAGCUGAAUGAGAAAACACAAACAUCAAAAACAGCUUUCUGCAAUGUUCCCCAUUAGCCAAAACCACUCAGAAACAGGUGGCACCAGAGCCUGGGAAACAGCCUGAAGGGAUCUGCACCCCUGAAAAACAGAAUGGAGGGUGAGGAAGAAGAAAGAUCUGUGGGAUAACAACUUGAAGCUCAGCUGGAAUAUCUCAGUCAUUUCCUGCCAGGUUCUGAAAUGAAAAUUUUGGAGUUAAGGGGGCAUGGUGGAGGCAGGGAAGAACACAACAAACAAACUGAAAUAAUAAAUGGAGAUAUCAAAAAUAUAUUUAGGUUUUAGAAAAAUUCAUAUUUAAACUCUCAAAGUUUAACAAAUAGUUUUCAAUGAGAUGUUUAAUAGCAUUUUCAUUAUCUGACUCUUCAAAACACUUGGCAACAUCAAAAACAUAUUUUCAAAAAUACAUUUUAUUUUUGUUUGUAUUCAGGGGACUCUGAAAAGAACGAAUUAGUAAUAUUUUAUUUCCUUUAACUCAAAUAUUUUAUUCAAUA